UACAGAGGUCCCAAGCGUUGUUCGGAUUCACUGGGCGUAAAGGGUGUGUAGGAGGUCAUGUAAGUCGGGUGUGAAAGCCCACCGCUUAACGGUGGAAUGGCAUUCGAUACUGCGUGACUAGAGGAUCGGAAGGGUAAGCGGAAUUCAUGGUGUAGCAGUGAAAUGCGUAGAUAUCAUGAGGAACACCGGUGGCGAAGGCGGCUUACUAGAAGAUUCCUGACUCUGAAACACGAAAGCCAGGGGAGCAAACGGG
RNAcentral lists this ribosomal RNA (253 nucleotides) under uncultured bacterium. Its description in RNAcentral is "partial 16S ribosomal RNA". It matches the Rfam family "Bacterial small subunit ribosomal RNA", at positions 524 to 776 of the family's 1533-position model. The record is from RNAcentral.